CUCGCCCAUAAAAGCCCUGCCCACGGACUCACAUACAUAUAAAUAAAUAUAUAAAAAACUCAAGUUAAAUGAAAGAUGGAGAAAAUCAUUAUCUAUUAUCAUUGUAAGAACUAAAAAAAAAAAAAGAAAAAAGAAGAAGUAUGAGAUAAAAUAUGAGUUUAUUAAUUUGGCGGUUGUAUAACUAUAUCUUUAUAUUUAUGAAAAAAAAAAAAAAGAACUAUGAAGUUAUGAACAAAGAAAAAAAUAGAGACAUAAACAUAUAGACAAAUGUAAGUAGAGAACUAUGAAAAAAAUGGAAACAUAGAAACACACAAAAACACAGGAAAAAAAAAGAAUUGACAAAAAAAAUCUAUAUAAAAAAAAAAACAAAAUAAAGGAGGCCCAUUUAGGCUCAGCCAGUUGGACUUACCCCAUCCUAGCCCGAUGAGCUUUUUCAAGCCCGGCUCAUGGGAUGAGCUUGGGCUUUGAAUUUUCUAAAAAAACUCGACACGGCCCGAUCCAUUAUUUUCUCUCUCCUCUUCGAAGCUCAUCUUGACCCGGCUCAAGCCUAUUAAAUUUGGGCCGGGCUAACCUGGGAGGCCUUCUCCUCUGUACUGUCUCCUCUCUCUUUCUUUCUUCUAUCUGUUCUCUUUUUCUUCUCUCUUGGUACACAGCCCACAGUGAGAAUCGAUCGAUUCCCUGUAACCCACACUGAUGUCGACGAUUCUCAGGCCUCACGCUCAGACUGAUGUUGACCAUGCUAGGUUUUCUGGUUAUUUGUUUUCUUUGUAAAAAGAUCUGUCUUUGUCUCAGCAAUAGAAAGAUGAAUGGGAGUCUGGAUUAAGCGCAGAAAGUUCGGGCAUAGCUUAUGUCCAAUUUGGACCAAGCCUGCUAACAAGGAAGAUUGAGGAGUUUGAUGGAUCUUGAUUAAGCCUGCAGUUUAUUGACAAACAGGACAACACCAAACCGAAACUCGAUUUCUAUGUAUUAAUUCAUUGCUUUAAUCAAUUUUAUUUUUUCUGGAUGGGUGUACAGACAGAGCUUGGAGGACAUACUGCCUUUGGAUUCAGAAGGGAACCCAUUAAACAUGUGGCAGGAGUGAAUUGCGUCACGUCCUGGAACUGAUUUGAGUUUGAACUACUAUCAUUUUACCUUUGUUUCACGUGUCUUUUGAGGUUGGAGAAAGAUUCAGGGUAUUUCUUCAAUAUGAGGUAUUUUGAGGAUUGCGUGCUGAAUGGUGAAUGAUGUGGGAGCACUACCUGGCUGGAUUUACUAAGGUUGAUGAAAACAGCGACUCUACGAAGAUUUUCUUUGCGAUUAGCCUUGAAGCCCUGACAGACAUAACCACGCUAAACCAGUCCAGAUUCUUCAAAGGGAUUUGAAAAUGCUCUUGACAUUCGGUGAUGAGUUUUUUGAUGAAGUAUCAUCACUGUUUCUGCCGAUGGUCAUUUACAGGUGUGUUGAGCAUAUUUAUUUUCUGAUUAGUUUGGCUUUUCAUGACCCUGCAUCACACAUGCUAUUGUAAAGCAAGCCAUGAUCAUGCAAGUGUUCGGGUUAAUUCAAUUGUGGCGUCUUAAUUGUUGAUCUUGUACAAUUAGUCAUCCUUGAUUUACUUUGUAUUGUGGCAUCCGAGUGGUAAGUUUUUUUUUUUGUUUUUUGUUUUUGUUUUUUUUUCCUGAACAUGAAGACAUGGGCUGGCAAGGAAUGCGGGACCUUACAUUUCUUACUUUGACAGGGUUUGCACAUGUAUAUUAUUAGUUUUUUUUUUGGACGUAUAAAAAUGACUCUUGGAACCAGUUUCUUCUUAAUUUGUAUAAAAAUGAGGGCCGUUCUGCACUGUUUACCCUUGCUGCUUUCAAAGUCAGGUCCUAGGAGGGAAAAAUGUCUUUUUUAGUAUUAACACAAACUCGAGAUCAAUUCCCAUAAUUUUAUGACAUGUAAUUAGUUAGGAGGCA
Long non-coding RNA from Prunus persica (peach), 1934 nucleotides. RefSeq lists it as uncharacterized. NCBI's taxonomy places the organism in Eukaryota, Viridiplantae, Streptophyta, Magnoliopsida, Rosales, Rosaceae. The record is from RefSeq and is a predicted model, not a curated record. The transcript is spliced from 6 exons.